This 253-nucleotide ribosomal RNA is filed under the name uncultured bacterium. RNAcentral describes it as "partial 16S ribosomal RNA". It matches the Rfam family "Bacterial small subunit ribosomal RNA", at positions 524 to 776 of the family's 1533-position model. The record is from RNAcentral.
UACGUAGGGUCCGAGCGUUGUCCGGAAUUACUGGGCGUAAAGAGCUCGUAGGCGGUUCGUCGCGUCGGCUGUGAAAACCUGAGGCUCAACCUCAGGCCUGCAGUCGAUACGGGCGGACUUGAGUACUGCAGGGGAGACUGGAAUUCCUGGUGUAGCGGUGAAAUGCGCAGAUAUCAGGAGGAACACCGGUGGCGAAGGCGGGUCUCUGGACCGAUACUGACGCUGAGGAGCGAAAGCGUGGGGAGUGAACAGG